GGUCUGGUGGUGUAGUUGGUUAUCACGUCAGUCUAACAGCUUGAGGUCGUCUCACGAUUGCCUCACUGCACACUGAAGGUCUCCGGUUCAAGUCCGGGCUAGAUCA
RNAcentral lists this transfer RNA (106 nucleotides) under Colletotrichum somersetense. RNAcentral describes it as "tRNA-Val". It matches the Rfam family "tRNA". From Rfam's summary of the family: Transfer RNA (tRNA) molecules are approximately 80 nucleotides in length. Lineage: Eukaryota; Fungi; Ascomycota; Sordariomycetes; Glomerellales; Glomerellaceae. The record is from RNAcentral.